Molecule: ribosomal RNA, 422 nt
Filed under: uncultured bacterium
Lineage: Bacteria
Description: bacterial SSU rRNA
Rfam family: Bacterial small subunit ribosomal RNA
Source: RNAcentral
UGAGGAAUAUUGGACAAUGGGUGGAAGCCUGAUCCAGCCAUCCCGCGUGAAGGAUGACGGUUCUAUGGUUUGUAAACUUCUUUUGUACAGGGAUAAACCUGCCCUCGUGAGGGCAGCUGAAGGUACUGUACGAAUAAGCACCGGCUAACUCCGUGCCAGCAGCCGCGGUAAUACGGAGGGUGCGAGCGUUAUCCGGAUUUAUUGGGUUUAAAGGGUCCGUAGGCGGGCCUGUAAGCCAGUGGUGAAAUCUCAUAGCUUAACUAUGAAACUGCCAUUGAUACUGCAGGCCUUGAGUAAAUUUGAAGUGGCUGGAAUAAGUAGUGUAGCGGUGAAAUGCAUAGAUAUUACUUAGAACACCGAUUGCGAAGGCAGGUCACUAAGAUUUAACUGACGCUGAUGGACGAAAGCGUGGGGAGCGAACA